This 449-nucleotide ribosomal RNA is filed under the name Escherichia coli. RNAcentral's name for it is "bacterial SSU rRNA". It matches the Rfam family "Bacterial small subunit ribosomal RNA", at positions 1 to 446 of the family's 1533-position model. The record is from RNAcentral. Lineage: Bacteria; Pseudomonadati; Pseudomonadota; Gammaproteobacteria; Enterobacterales; Enterobacteriaceae.
AAAUUGAAGAGUUUGAUCAUGGCUCAGAUUGAACGCUGGCGGCAGGCCUAACACAUGCAAGUCGAACGGUAACAGGAAGAAGCUUGCUUCUUUGCUGACGAGUGGCGGACGGGUGAGUAAUGUCUGGGAAACUGCCUGAUGGAGGGGGAUAACUACUGGAAACGGUAGCUAAUACCGCAUAACGUCGCAAGACCAAAGAGGGGGACCUUCGGGCCUCUUGCCAUCGGAUGUGCCCAGAUGGGAUUAGCUAGUAGGUGGGGUAACGGCUCACCUAGGCGACGAUCCCUAGCUGGUCUGAGAGGAUGACCAGCCACACUGGAACUGAGACACGGUCCAGACUCCUACGGGAGGCAGCAGUGGGGAAUAUUGCACAAUGGGCGCAAGCCUGAUGCAGCCAUGCCGCGUGUAUGAAGAAGGCCUUCGGGUUGUAAAGUACUUUCAGCGGGGAG